This 292-nucleotide ribosomal RNA is filed under the name uncultured Comamonadaceae bacterium. RNAcentral's name for it is "partial 16S ribosomal RNA". It matches the Rfam family "Bacterial small subunit ribosomal RNA", at positions 505 to 796 of the family's 1533-position model. The record is from RNAcentral. Lineage: Bacteria; Pseudomonadati; Pseudomonadota; Betaproteobacteria; Burkholderiales; Comamonadaceae.
GUGUCAGCAGCCGCGGUAAUACGUAGGGUGCGAGCGUUAAUCGGAAUUACUGGGCGUAAAGCGUGCGCAGGCGGUUGUGUAAGACAGGCGUGAAAUCCCCGGGCUCAACCUGGGAAUGGCGCUUGUGACUGCACGGCUAGAGUACGGUAGAGGGGGAUGGAAUUCCGCGUGUAGCAGUGAAAUGCGUAGAUAUGCGGAGGAACACCGAUGGCGAAGGCAAUCCCCUGGACCUGUACUGACGCUCAUGCACGAAAGCGUGGGGAGCAAACAGGAUUAGAUACCCUCGUAGUCC